This 468-nucleotide ribosomal RNA is filed under the name uncultured bacterium. RNAcentral's name for it is "partial 16S ribosomal RNA". It matches the Rfam family "Bacterial small subunit ribosomal RNA", at positions 28 to 507 of the family's 1533-position model. The record is from RNAcentral.
GACGAACGCUUUCUUCUUUCUUAACACAUGCAAGUCGAACGGAAAGGCCCUGCUUUUGUGGGGUGCUCGAGUGGCGAACGGGUGAGUAACACGUGAGUAACCUGCCCUUGACUUUGGGAUAACUUCAGGAAACUGGGGCUAAUACCGGAUAGGAGCUCCUGCUGCAUGGUGGGGGUUGGAAAGUUUCGGCGGUUGGGGAUGGACUCGCGGCUUAUCAGCUUGUUGGUGGGGUAGUGGCUUACCAAGGCUUUGACGGGUAGCCGGCCUGAGAGGGUGACCGGCCACAUUGGGACUGAGAUACGGCCCAGACUCCUACGGGAGGCAGCAGUGGGGAAUAUUGCACAAUGGGCGGAAGCCUGAUGCAGCAACGCCGCGUGCGGGAUGACGGCCUUCGGGUUGUAAACCGCUUUCGCCUGUGACGAAGCGUGAGUGACGGUAAUGGGUAAAGAAGCAACGGCUAACUACGUG